AUAGGGUAUAAUAUAUAGCAAGUAGUAAAUUCAUAUAUGAUGUAAUAAUUGAAUAGUUUUUUGGAAUGGAAAACAUAGUAAAUUCUGAGUAUUUUAUUUCAAACGUUACCUCCAGUAAACCCUAUCAGAAAUGAACUACAAAAUUUAUAUAAAAAUUUGUAGUGCAUCUUAAAUUUUCUUCUUCCAAUCCUUAAAUAUAUUUAUAAGUUUACAAGUUCCUUUUUAAGGAAUAUGAUUCUGUCAGCUAAAGUAGCUGAGUGUUUUUUCUCUUUGUACGUUAACCAAAAAUUAUCUAUUUUAUAGACGGUUCACGCAGAUGAGUAAGGAAACUCAAAUAUGCAAAGCGCUUAUUUUGAAAAUCUUUGUGUAUAUCAUUCAUGAAUAGACAAUUGUAUUUAUUUUGAGCUUUUAGAGUGAUAACAUCGAGUUUUGAUUUGUAGUAUUGAAGUAUUUUAUCAAUUUUUAUUAGUAAAAUGGCUAAAGUGAGUUCUGUGUUAGUAGGCAUUAAGAAAUAUAAAGAACUGCGUUUGGAUAUGGGAAAAGGGUACUGUUCGGUGUGAAUUACAAUUGCAAACAUAAUGUUACUUCUACUGAUGAGUUUAUUAAUAAUAAGGAGUUUUGGGCCUGAAUAAAUUGUCAGACUAAUAGACUAUUAUCUACCUCUCUAGCCUCCAGGUAACUGGUCCAACUGUACGCCAUGUCUGUUAACAAUUGUUAAUCAAAAACAAAACUUUUACUUUGAAAUUAUAAUGAACCUGAAAUAUGAAAAGUUUAAUUCGGUUUUCUACAGUUUUUCUGUAACCUCGUGAACUGGUUCACAAGCCAAAUGGCCGACGAUAGGGAAUAAUACAGUUGUACUCGCAUUCUAUGAAGAAAUGUUUGUUUCUUUUUCACUUCAAUCAAAGCUUUAGGAUGUAGAAAGUGGAAAUAAAUAAGUAAAUAUGGUAAGCAGA
Long non-coding RNA from Diorhabda sublineata, 953 nucleotides. RefSeq lists it as uncharacterized. NCBI's taxonomy places the organism in Eukaryota, Metazoa, Arthropoda, Insecta, Coleoptera, Chrysomelidae. The transcript is spliced from 2 exons. The record is from RefSeq and is a predicted model, not a curated record.